This 73-nucleotide transfer RNA is filed under the name Kwoniella dejecticola CBS 10117. RNAcentral describes it as "tRNA-Ala (TGC) (tRNA-Ala-TGC-1-1)". It matches the Rfam family "tRNA". From Rfam's summary of the family: Transfer RNA (tRNA) molecules are approximately 80 nucleotides in length. The record is from RNAcentral. Lineage: Eukaryota; Fungi; Basidiomycota; Tremellomycetes; Tremellales; Cryptococcaceae.
GGGCCUGUAGGAUAGGGGUUAUUCCGCUUCAUUUGCAUUGAAGAGGUCCUGGGUUCAAUUCCCAGCCGGUCCA